GGGAAUAUUGCACAAUGGGCGCAAGCCUGAUGCAGCGACGCCGCGUGGGGGAUGACGGCCUUCGGGUUGUAAACUCCUUUCGCUAGGGACGAAGCGUAUUUGUGACGGUACCUGGAGAAGAAGCACCGGCUAACUACGUGCCAGCAGCCGCGGUAAUACGUAGGGUGCGAGCGUUGUCCGGAAUUACUGGGCGUAAAGAGCUCGUAGGUGGUUUGUCGCGUCGUUUGUGUAAGCCCGCAGCUUAACUGCGGGACUGCAGGCGAUACGGGCAUAACUUGAGUGCUGUAGGGGAGACUGGAAUUCCUGGUGUAGCGGUGGAAUGCGCAGAUAUCAGGAGGAACACCGAUGGCGAAGGCAGGUCUCUGGGCAGUAACUGACGCUGAGGAGCGAAAGCAUGGGUAGCGAAC
RNAcentral lists this ribosomal RNA (407 nucleotides) under uncultured bacterium. Its description in RNAcentral is "bacterial SSU rRNA". It matches the Rfam family "Bacterial small subunit ribosomal RNA", at positions 357 to 773 of the family's 1533-position model. The record is from RNAcentral.